Long non-coding RNA from Rhea pennata, 457 nucleotides. RefSeq lists it as uncharacterized. The transcript has 3 exons. Lineage: Eukaryota; Metazoa; Chordata; Aves; Rheiformes; Rheidae. The record is from RefSeq and is a predicted model, not a curated record.
UUUGGAAAAAGAAAUGCUCCUGCUAUGCAGUAGCAUUUGUAAAACAGGGUAUUUUUAGCCUCCAGUCUCAGGGCACAUGGGCAGCAGCCGUAGCACCGAGCGCUAUGUGGUAAGAGCUCCAGGGAAGCUGCUAGGGGAGGCCAGCUGGCUGCACAGUCUUCUCCUGUCUUUUGAUGGCACCUCUUAACAAAAACAUGAAAAGGAUGAACAUAAGCUCUUCCACUUCCAGUAACAGGACGGGCAUUUCUCAAGGCACAGUGACCAAGAUGAUACACACACCAGCGAACGGAAGAGUUGUUCAAGCAGUACUAUCUUCUACCUUGAACAGACAUGUUCAUAGCAAUGCUCUGAAAUAAAUCUAGUCCCAGUGAUUAUUUGCUUCAAAGUGAGGAAUAAGCCUUUUUUCUAUUUCUUUUGAAAAAUAUUGGAGACUAAAGAGAUAAUUUAGAACUUUUCU